AGGUAAGUGCCGGCCACUCAAAUGGGGUGGAAAGAGGUGGCACAGCGCUGCCGAGGGAGUGCGUUCCAGACAGGUGACCUCUUGCUUGGGUGCUGAAUGAGUGGAGUUUUCCAGAGAGACCAAGAGGAAGCAGCCGCAGAAACCUCAGCCCAGCUGGGCUUGCAGAAGCUAAUGCUAGAAUAGUUGUGGGACUCAGGAUCUGCUGAAGUCGGGGGAAGAGAGAAGUAGGGAAAGGAAAGCCCAGGCCACGCGUGGGGCUCAGGAACGGCAUCCUCGCCCGAGAAAAGAGAGGUUAAAACCAAGACAUGGACAAAGCCUCCGAAUGAAGGCAGCCCUUUAAAUGGAAUAAAUUUGGUUUCAUGGCACAUUAAUGGGGUGUCUUCUCUCCGAAGACACAGAGACAACUACAGUAGGUCUGGGGGCCGUCAGGGAUUGGAGGAACGAAGGUAAGAAAAGGAAGAAGGUAAGAAAAAGAGGUCCCUACCUCUGUGAGGUAGGGACAGUGCUGAACAGCAGGGCUGGGAGAGCCCACAGGGAGGUGGCCAGGAUGGCCACAGGGCCUGGGGAGGACCAGGUGGGGCACCAUCCUGCGGUAGAGAAUGCCCGUCACCUGCCCUAGGGGCCACCCAGAAUGCAGAUUAAAUAAGUAUUUGGGAAUGGCACAGGAGCUUUUCCAUUUUCGUGGGUUAGAGGAAAGCUGCUGCGUUCAAGAGGAUAACGUGGGACCUGAGCAUUCUGGUAAGUCAACCCCACAUUCAUGGAAAGCCACGGGCUCUGUUUUACUGAUAAGGAACUGAAGUCCCACAGAGGAAGUGGCCAGGCUCACUCACACACAGCAUGCACUUGAAGCUUUCUGUGGAAAUCAGAAACCUCCGGGGCUCAGGCGCUGUAGUGGUGGCCUGGUGACUCUGACCCCUUGAAGGAGAAGCAUCUGUGAAGGUGCUGUCCAGGACAAGUAGGGUGCUCUACGGUAAAGGACAUGGUGGCCUGACCUGCUCCAGAGCAGGGAGGCCUCCCUUGAGGAAAUAAGAUAAACCCAGACUUUAAGGAUAAGCAGAAACCAGCUAGGUGAACUGGAGUGGGAACAGCACGUGAAAAGGCCCUGGUUUAGGAAGGAGCACCACUCCUUCAGAGCACAGAAAGGCCAGGAUGGCCGAAGCAUAGGGAACAACAGGAAAGUGACAUAAAUUGAGGCUGCAGAGGUAGAAGAAGGGCCUUAUUGGUCGUGCUAGGAAUUUGGAAUUCUGCAAAGAAGCCUGGGAAACAGAUUUUGGUGACACUCGCCUUCUCUUUAAUGUGCAGUUUCAGUUCUGUUGGUGUGAUUCUGCAUUGGAGAUGGCGUGCUGUAACGAAUGGCCAGGAGCUUAAGAGUCAUGCAGACUUGGGAGGCCUGGCCUUGCCACGCCCAGCUGCAUGGCCAUCCUCCUCCUGUUUCUGGCCGUUCUGUUUCUAAACCUUGGGGUUCUGAUAUUCCUACAUGUAAACUAGGGGCUGUAAUAGGAAUCUCACAGGUGAGUCUUAGGAUUAUAAGAGGAGACAUGACUGCAUGUGUAAGACAUCAUAAUGAUGUGCUUCCUCAUCUGACCCUACCUCCAGGUUCUUUGAUAACCUCAUGGUUCCCAUUUUCUAGAACAGUUGCCACUUGCACUCAGAUAAAGGUGACUCACUGAAUGCAUAAAUAAGUGUAGUGCCGGAUUUGCAUACUUUUGGUAGACUGUCAUAUAAUAAAUUUAUAAAUCAGAAUUUUAAAACUCCAGGUGGGGCCGGGCACAGUGGCCCAUGCUUGUAAUCCCAGCCAGCAUUUUGGGAGGCUGAGG
Molecule: long non-coding RNA, 1817 nt
Filed under: Homo sapiens (human)
Lineage: Eukaryota; Metazoa; Chordata; Mammalia; Primates; Hominidae
Description: non-protein coding lnc-C10orf90-2:1
Source: RNAcentral